UUUCAAGUGAAAAUUAAACUCAAUUUCUAAAAGUUCAAUACUGACCAGUGAUUCCCAAGGAUUAUCCAUGAUUGGCAAGAGUAUGCCUUGAUUUGGAAAAAAGAAUAUACAAGAUUGUCAUUGAUAGAUAUACUAUGGAUUGUCAUUGCAAAGGUUCAAAUUCUUCUAAGUAUCGGUCAAAUCUUCAAGUUGAUAUAUGUGAGACAGGCUCUCCGAGCUUUUCAUUUCUCAAUUUCAACGUGCGGUUGGAAGUGAUGCCAUCUUAUAACCUGGCAACUGGGCGAGGAAGGUCCCAGUCAGUCACAAUGUGGUUACGGGUAAUCUCCCCCAAUGAGCGGCAGCCAUUUAAUGCCAUUGUUAGCUCGAACUCAUCACGAAGCAUCUGAAGU
This 389-nucleotide unclassified non-coding RNA is filed under the name Hevea brasiliensis (rubber tree). Lineage: Eukaryota; Viridiplantae; Streptophyta; Magnoliopsida; Malpighiales; Euphorbiaceae. The record is from RNAcentral.